Molecule: long non-coding RNA, 3750 nt
Filed under: Capsicum annuum
Lineage: Eukaryota; Viridiplantae; Streptophyta; Magnoliopsida; Solanales; Solanaceae
Description: long non-coding RNA (CANN_LNC013087)
Source: RNAcentral
AAACACUAAUAAAUUGUACCUAAAGCAAUCUAAAUGGUACUUUCUCGUCUUUGUGGAAACACGUGGCAACAUUAUUGUUAAGCACGUAUGCUAUAAAAGUGAACAAAAUAUAACUAUGCUCUCCUCCGCUUCACAACUUAUCAGCCGACUCGAUCUUUCCCCAAAGAAUGUCAGCGAAGAUUCUGCAAAGGACUGGAUGAAUUCCAUUUAAAGGUGAGGGUUAAAUCCCGAACUCUUCAAUAUAGUAUUUUUGAUUCUUUUUUCCUUAAGAGACUAUUGAUCUAGAAAUACUAAGUCAUACUCGGCAACUGAUGUAUGGAGGAGCUAACAAGAGAAGUACGAAGUACGAACCUACACCAAAAAAUUGUACCAUUUGCAGUACAAACUAACAAGGGAAGUGGUUGUCAUUAUUUUGCGGUGUAUGAAACAGAGACUUUCGGUUUGUACUUUUCUGUCAUUUUGCCUUCCUAAUUUUGGAUGUUUUCUUGGCUUUUCUUUGAAUGCAUUAUACAGAAAUUGGUUGUGCCAUGUUUUUUGGCAGAGUCUGUAUGUGGACAUAAAUGAAUUAAGAUAGAGUAGGAAGGUGGAGUUUAGAUAAUUAGAUACGUCUUGCUACAUUCACGUUGAGGUCCAAAAUCAAGAAUGCUCCAUUUUGGGGGGAUCUUUAUCUUUAUUUUUUUAUAAUUUUUUUUUUGUGUUUUUGUUGGCUGGAAUGGCUAUUUGGAUGUAGCCCUUUACUGGUGGUUUAUUGAUUGUCUUUAUUACAAUGAACUUGCAGGAAACUUCGUCAGCUCAAUAUAUAUUGCAACAGUAUACUAUAGCCUCUGGACGUCAGAAACUUCAGAACAUUAUGUAUAAUGCAUAUGCAAUGGGAAAGGUGAGGAUGCUGGCAUCAGAUAUUGAGACGGUUUGAAAUAUUUGGCGUUCGAUUCAUGUUUUGGAUCUCUCUAUGGAUUUUAUUUAUUUCUCCAAGCUUAAUUUUUUUCCUGUUUCUCCGUCUAGGUGUCUCGUGACCUUUAUCACCUUAUGAAUUAGUGAUGAAUAAUUUUUUUUCCCUUGCAUUUCUUAUCGGCUAAUGUCGAAUUGAUCUCAUGUGCAAGAGAUACUUUGUUGGUCAUAGAUAAGAUAAACAGAUUUUUGACACAUAAUCAAGUUCUCUUUUUUAUGUAUCAUCAAAGCUUAGCAAAUUAUAGAAGCUGAUUUGGAAGCAAAUUUGCAAGAAGGGUCCUAUGAGAAUGUUAACGGGAUGGAGGUAUGGUGUUGUGGAUAGGCUGUUGUUGCUAACUGUCCAUAAAGAUGUGUCUAUCUUUGGUAGAAUAUUUAUUUCCAAAUCCAAGAAAAGUGAGUGUUAUGUGACUGAGAAUUUGUUUGAAGAGAAGUAUAAAGGGACUUAUAAAAAGACUGGACGGAGAAUUUGUCAUUGGUUUCCAAGACCCACACUAUCUUAUAAUAGUUAUAACUAAGUUGAGGAAGUAGCAAGCACAGAAAUCAUCAGUGAUAUGGAUAGGCAUUUCCAAGGGAAUAUGUAACACCCCGCAAGAGUCGUGCAUGUAUUAGCUCCUAGUAGAAUGCUCUUAGAGUUAAAGACUAGAUUUUUUUUUUAAAAGUGUCAAAAGGGACUUAGUCUCAUUCUUUGACUUCCAAAGUGAGUAAAGUUUAAACCAUAUAUAUAAUUUCCCUAAUUUCGACUUUUCAUCACAUGAAAAAUUUGAUAAGCUUUCCGCCAAUUUAAGAUUCGCCCAAAUCCGAUACCCGAGCAAGAAAUUAUGGCUAAUUUAAGUCCUAGUCGUAAAACACCAUCAUUUUGGUUCUUGGCGCGUCGCGGAGGGAGUCUAUUUAACAAUUGUCAAAUUCCAGUAGCCUAGCACGAUUGUUGCGCGUUGCGCUGAAGUUUCAGGUCCCAACCAGUGGGACAACGCGAUGGCUCCGCGUCGCGGUGACCCUAAAAAUCCCAUUCGUCAAUUUCCAGUGAGCUACCGUGAUUGUGGCGCAUGGUGGCCCAUAAAAUCAGGUUUCAGUUAUAUUUUAUUUCAUCUCAUUAAGGGUAUAUUAGGUAUUUUCCACCCCCCUUAUCAGCUUAAACACGGGAUUAUACUCUCAAGUGACCACAUUAUUCAUAGUUUCUUCAAAAAUUCACAAGAAGCUCUCUCUAGGGUUUCAAACUAAAAACCCAAAUAACUCAAGAUUUAACCGUGGGCUUUCAAGAUAGAUUGAAGAUUUGGAAUCCCCAAAUCGUAUGCUUCAAGAAUCAUCCACUAAAUUCCUAAAUUGAGGUACGUGGGAUUUUUCUAAAAAUUUAUGGGCAAAGAAACAUUCUUUAAUUCAUGCUAAAGAUUUAGAAAUCAUGAUUUUUCGGAAAGGGUUUGAAUUUUACCAUUUCUAGCAUGUUUUAGAAGCUUUAAUUAAUAUUGUUUGGUCUUUAGGCCUUUCCCCGAAGUAUUUGAAAUCCUAUAUAUAUGUACGUAUGUGUUUUAAUGUGAUGUUUGAAUUAAGAGCAUGACUCACAUUAAAAUUCCUCUCUUGAUAUGAUUUUUUCCCAUUUUUCAUAUGAUAUGGAUUGUCUUGAAAAACAUGAUAUGAAAUGUCUUGAUUUAUACUAUGACUUGAAUAUGAUUUGGGAAUCAAAAAAGAGGGUUGUGCAUGUUGAUAAAUGUUGACNNNNNNNNNNNNNNNNNNNNNNNNNNNNNNNNNNNNNNNNNNNNNNNNNNNNNNNNNNNNNNNNNNNNNNNNNNNNNNNNNNNNNNNNNNNNNNNNNNNNNNNNNNNNNNNNNNNNNNNNNNNNNNNNNNGAAAGAGUUGCAUGGUUUGACAAAGAUUUCAGGACCACCACAUUGUUAUUGAAAGAAUGAUAAUCCUUGUAUAGUUUUGACUUGUGCUUUUGGAACAUGAAAUCUAUUAUACUAAUUGCAUGUUUGGGUGGUCUGAAUUGAGUUUUAAUGAAAGAAUCAUGCAUGAUACAAUAUGGCUCAGAAAUAGGACUUGCAAGUUAUAGUGUGACAAUACCAACUCAGAUAAUGCCAUGUUAAUUCAGAACAGAAUAGAAUGCAUGUUUGAAAUCAGAUUUUCAGAUUUUGAAACUAGAAUGACGCAUGUAUCAGAACAGAUUAAAAUUGGGCAUAAAGAGAGCUUAGGUGGUUCCCUGAAGUAAGCAUGAGUUCAGACAACUCAUUGCCCAAAACCGUGAUUUGCCGAUCCGGAUAUAUUAUUUUACGCUGGCCUAGUGCCUUGUGGCGUAUCAGACUCAAACACUCCAACCCUUGCGGCACACUUGGGUUGGGGGCUUCCCCGCCGAGUCAAUGACAGAUUCCAUAUAGCCCGUGGGAUAUCAGACUUGUAGGGGAGUAGCACCUAACUCAGAAGUAAUACAAAGAUCAGAGACUACAUUGACAGAAAGGUUUUAUGAUUAUCAAAGAUGCCCAUAUAUUUUGGAAUUUAUAUCAUAUAUGAUGUUUUAUGACUAGCUCUCAACUAUUUUAUUUAUAUCAAAAGCUUUAUUUUGGAUUGCUCUGCGUAUUAGUACAUUUGUAUUAACCCCCUACCUUCCAGGUUCUGAGGUACAAUCUAGGGGUCCUGAUAAGCAGUAGAUUUCUUCAGACAGAAGUGUAGAGUUCAGUCGGUGAGCCUUCUAUAUUUCAGAAGGCCUAUUUAUUUUCAGACAUUUAUCGUUAGUCGUGGUUUUAGUCUACUGGGGGCCUUGUCCCAGAAUUUUCAGACAGUUGUUAUUAGUCAUGUAGUAGAGAUUUCGCAGACG